UAAAUGUUGUAGGGGGACCGGUGUUGCCGGUUGAGACUGCAUCCGUUAAGAUGCUGACCCUUGGAACCUGAUCUGGCUGAAACCAGCGUAGGGAACACUGAAUUGUUUAUG
RNAcentral lists this non-coding RNA (111 nucleotides) under Lentibacillus amyloliquefaciens. RNAcentral's name for it is "TPP sequence". It matches the Rfam family "TPP riboswitch aptamer (THI element)". From Rfam's summary of the family: Vitamin B(1) in its active form thiamin pyrophosphate (TPP) is an essential coenzyme that is synthesised by coupling of pyrimidine and thiazole moieties in bacteria. The record is from Rfam by way of RNAcentral. Lineage: Bacteria; Bacillati; Bacillota; Bacilli; Caryophanales; Bacillaceae.